Molecule: long non-coding RNA, 7048 nt
Filed under: Triticum aestivum (bread wheat)
Lineage: Eukaryota; Viridiplantae; Streptophyta; Magnoliopsida; Poales; Poaceae
Description: long non-coding RNA (TAES_LNC008978)
Source: RNAcentral
CAGAAGAAGAAGAGCGAGCACACCUUCAAGAAGAUUAACCAGACCGUCUCCUACGACAUCGAGGUGACCGCUUUUGUGGAGAAGGGCAAGAUCAAGAAGGUCACAGGGGUCAAGUUCGAGGACCUGUCUUUGGUCGAGGUCUAUGUGGAUGAGUCUUCUGCUGAUAAGGUCACCGUCAAGACUGACACCGGUCUGUCUGACACCCAUGAUGCGGUCGCGUUCGCUCUCGGAGAAUAGGGAGCUAAGUAGAAAUGGCACAAAAUAAAGUCAGUGAAUGGUUCGACACUAUGGUUCGCAUGUCAUGCAAAAGUAUCUUUCCAUUUUCUUGUAAUCUAAAGGCUGCUGCGUGAAUGUUGCUCCCUUUGGGCUGGUAAUCUUUCGACAGUGAAUUGAAUAAUUGCAUUUAUAGUUCUGUACCCCCUCCUCUAUCCCACAUCGAUGACUCUCAACUUUCAUCUCAGUGAAUGGUUUAGAAUCUUCAAAUCGAUGUGAAAAACAAGUUUUUUCUUAAGCACAUAUUUUUAUGUGAAAACAAGUCCUUCUCUCGAAUGUUGUUUUGUAGUAUUAGAAGAACACUGAGAAAAAGGCAAAGGAAAAAAAAUGGGACAAAAGCAGAAACCAGAGCAAACCUAAACUAGCCAAAAUCUAAGACUAGCAAAGAGAAUGACACAACCAAGACAGAGCAAAGUUCACACUGCUAUGGUUGAGGCUGCAUGAUCCAUAGAUUAUUUUCUCUUUCUAAGUUCAGGUUGAUGUGAAAACAAGUUGCUUUAAUGAUGCAUCAUUCGCCACGGUCUAGAGACUAUGGAGGCAGCUUGGACCGCGGCGACUAUGGUGGCUACUACCCAGGCCCGUAUGUGGGCAGGUGCAACCGGAGCAGCUGCACAGGGCCCCCAGAAUCUUGGGGCCCCAAUUUUUUAAAGUACUGCUACGUUAUUACUACUCAUCAGGUGUAUUAAUAAGAGACUAAGCAAGUCAUGGCCACACUUGCCCACGGCCCAGUCAUGUCACAGCCUCACCUUCACGGGAGUCAAAGCAGUCUGCAUGCGUUGCAAUCCUUCGUCUCCUCGGCUCGUCCCUCGAUUCUUCUCCAGUGGAUUCAUAAUUUUUUUGGAAACAGAGCCAUUGAUGGCUAUGAACUGCUGCUUCGUUUGGCUAUACGGUGCUACUACCUCAUAGGAGUACUUAUAAAUUGGGUGGAUUUGUAUUGAUUCCGCGUUCUCUCUUUCAAAGUCUCAUCCCUCAGAGCAGAUCAACCAGACUUUCUUUUCUUUCUCUUGGUUGAGGUGCAGAGCAAUCGGAGUCCUAUGUGCCAUCAUUUCUUCAUGGUGUGUAUUCCUCAACAACAACAAAACCGUUUGGGUUAUUUGUCCCUUUUUGUUUUGUACACCCCUGUUCUUAAGUUAAUUUGCUGCUCUUUCAUGAAUUUAUUCAUCCGGCUGGCAUAAUAAUAGUUCAAAGUAAUAAAGAUUUUCUUUUGGCCUGUAAAUGGGGCCUAAAAUGUGAUUACGCACCGGGGCCCGGAUUUCUGAGGUACGGCCCUGCUACUACCACCAUAGCCGGAGGAGCAGUGAGAGGAAUCGCAACUAUGACAGCCAUGGGAGCAGGCGGCAGCGACGCAGGUCUAUGACUAGGAGCCCGGUCAGGCAGGGCAGCGAGGAGAGGAGGGCGAAGAUUGAGCGGUGGAACCGUGAAAGGGAUACGGUGCAGGCGUGAGACCUCCGGUCUGACUGCAGGUUGCCUUGUUCACCGGAUGUUCUGCUUGCUUGUCUGAUCUUAUAAUGGUAGAUGGAGUUAGAUUGUGGUCCUAGCGAACUUACUCGGAUGCCUGAUGUAACAUCUUCAGUGUGGUUCUUGUUGAACCUCCUCUUUGGAUGUGUUGAUGGAACAUAUUUGGUUUUGAAUUUGUUAUUGUUAUGACUAUAGUGUUCUCUGAAUGUUCCUUUGUAAGCAUUCGGUGCAUUGCUUUGCUCACAUACCUUCGGGAUUGCAUUUCUGUAUCACUCGGCAUCAACUUAUGUUCCAUCAGAUUUCCUGCCAGUUAAAUGGAGCAGAGGUUAGCACUGGAGGCUAUGUUGCAGAUGGGAAACUUUGGCAGAUGGUGCAUAUAGACAUCUAAUCUAGCUUUUCAGCUUGCGGCAUUGUUGAAUAGUUACUGACUUUCUGUGUUGUUGAUUUUUAUUCUGGCCAUCAGAGAAAAUUUCCCGGUUUUAGGUUCAGGUAGAUGUGGAAAACAAGUCUUUCUUAGGCACGCAGUGUUAUGUGAAUACUAGUUCAGCAUUCAUCGUAUUGCUUUGGUCACAAAGGUUGUUCGAGUGUAAGUGCAAUGGGAGCUGAACUUUGUAUCACUCGAGAUCGCCAACUCAUGUUUCUUGUAAGAAUCUAUUUUUUUUCUUACUUGGGACGGAGCUCAGCUUCCUAAUUGGACAAGAGCACUGGGACUUCUACACUCUGGUCAAUUUAGUCGCUCGAGAUCAAAAGACUUGAAGAUUCUUCUUGUGUAAGCAAUGGCCAAUUAGUCAUCCUUGACCAGUGUUCUGGUGUGGAGUUCAGCAUAAGGCAUUUCAAUGGUCAGAUAUGGCUGGACGUAAUGAGCUAACUCCAAACGGGAUACGUUCAUCUUUUUUCUUUAAAACAAGAAUUAUCUGAAAGAAGUCCAUAAAAGACAACUGCCGGUCUCACUGGGUUGGCGCGCGCAGCCGCGCAUGAAUCCAUCCGAGAGGCCUUUAGGAGCCGUUACAGUUUGCACCAUCUAUAUAAGGCAGCACCAUCAGAUCCUGGUCUAUCAAGUACCACAAGCUCAUCUGCCAAUUCACAAACCUAGAAAACCACUCCAAAGCAAACAAGCACCAGCUAAGAAGGUGCUCAAAUGGCGUCCCAGCUGGUUGAGAGCCACCGUGCCGGCGCCGAGGUCCACAAGGGGAACGAUAUCUGCAAGAAGAAGACCGUCGAGCUUCUCGAAGUGCUUGGCCUCCCGAAAGGCCUCUUUCCUAUGGAUGACAUCGAGGAGGUCGGGCACAACUGUGAGAGUGGGUUUGUGUGGAUACUUCAGAAGAAGAAGAAAGAGCACAUGUUCAACAAGCUCAACCAGACCGUCUCCUACGACACUGAGGUGACCGCUUUUGUGGAAAAGGGCAAGAUGAAGAAGGUCACCGGGGUCAAGGUCGAGGAGUUUUCUUUGGUCGAGGUCUAUGUGGAUGAGUCGUCUCCUGAUAAGGUCACCAUCAAGACCGAUACCGGUCUGUCUGACACCCAUGAUGCGGCCGUGUUCGCUCUCGGAGAAUAGGGAGCUACUAGUUAAAAAGGCCAGAAGAAUAAAGUUAGUGAAUGGUUCGGCACAGCAGUUCACAUGUUAUGCAGAAGUAUAUGCUUUCGUUUUCUUGUUGAUCUAAUAAAGGUUGUUGCAUGAAUGUUGCUCCCUUUCAGCCCAUGUUAUGCAGAAAUAUAGGUUUCCGUUUUCUUUGUAAUGUAAUAAAGGAUGUUGCAUGAAUGUUGCUUCCUUUCAGCCCGUAAGCGUUCGCCAAAUGUAAUGAAUAACACUUAUACCGUCUCCUAUACCCCAUAUCGACCACUCUCAGCUUCCCACUGUUGUCCCUAUCUUUGUGUGCCAGAGAAUAACGGCCUUAUCAACCAAUAAUUAAGCAAGGCUUUGAAAUACAACAUGAACCAUGACAUGCACAGAAGAAUUCUAAUUUUGAUUCUUGGUAUUUGGAUUUUCAUGUUGAUUUUAACAUUUCAUAAUUUUAGAUGUAUGUUAUAUCAGUUUCUCAAAAAAAACAAGGAGAUCGACAGCAAGGCUCGAAUAGAAACAUUGUGGAACAAUUUCCUGUUUUGUUGAUUUUAAUUUUCUCGCUAAUAUCAAAUCAUCGGAGUUUAUUUCCACAUUUAUGGUUCAGAUCGAUGUGAAAAACAAUUUUUUUUUCUUAGGUACAUAUUUUUAUGCGUAAACAAGUUCUUGUCUUGAUUUUGUUUUCUUGCGUGGAAAGAUUGCUGAGAAAAUGCAAAGGAAAAAAAGAGGACAAAAGCAGAAACCAGAGCAAGCCAAAACUAGCCAAAUUUAAGUACUGGUAAAAGAGAAUGACAAAACCAACACAGAGCAGAACUCCUACUGCUAUGGUUGAGGAUUAGAUUAUCGAAACUGCUCCACACACAAUGUUUCUGCCCGAUCUAUGCAUGACCUGAAAAUCCAGCAGCCGGUACCCUGCUCAUUCAUGCGCAUGUCCGGCUGGAUUUAUGUGUCGUGUGUGAAUUGUCUGAAUUCUGUCGUCCGUAUAGCACUGCUAUUAGAUUAUUUUCUAAUUCCAAGUUCAGGUUGAUGCGAAAACAAGUUGCUCACGACAUUUUUAAUGUUCCUCCAUUACAUCUCUAAAGGUUUGUUUAUAGACAACAUAAAACGGAAAGAACUCAUCAUGGCACAACCCUCUACUCAGUUGAGAACAGGAAGGGUUCGAAAUCAGUUAGUUUGAGGCUAAGUUUGUGACUGUUGAAAUGCUAAAAAAUGCUAAAUUGUCUUACAAUUUGAUGUGGAAAAUACCUAUAAAAUGGUUAAGUUUGUGAUUGCUAAACUAUGGAUUUUUUUAGAUUUGUGAGGAAAAACAGCCAUGGAAUAUGCAAAAGUAAACUAUUCCAAACAUUUAAGUAGGCAAAAAUAAUUCGGUGAAUGGAACCACCAAAACCUAUGAAGAUUUCAAGCUAGUCUAUUCUUUAAUGGGAAAUGAUUCCUUUCAACCGGUCGACCUUGUGCGAGCGUUCACCACCUCCGCGUCCGUUAGAUGGGCUCUUAAUCAGACAGUCAGGAGCUAACCCCUUCGUAUCCACGUUCUACAACUGGUCCGUUAUUUCAUAAAGUGGUUAUGCAACUAGCCCCUUGUUGCAAACCGACCAGAGGUUAGAUCCUGCAGCGGCCGGGACUAUGGAGGGUGACAGCGGCUGGGACUAGGGAGGGCAGCGGCGCAGGCUUACCGGCAGACCCCCCGCGGCGGAGAUGACGAUGGGAUCUCCGCCGAUGAUGGCCAGCCUCUAUACGGAUCCAGAGAUCCCUUUUUCCCUGUUCCUGUAGGCCGGCGCAAGUGGUAGGUGGUGGUCGCCGGUGGUGGUGGUGGUGCUCCCCGACGGCGGUGAUUCGUGCUCCCCAGCGUGCUUCUGAAACCAUGGGAGCGACAACACUCUUUGUUGUGGUCAGUGGCGGCGCGCUCGACUCAAGCAACGGCAGCGUUGUUUCUGCACAUUUUUUCAUUUUAAAAUUUUCUGCAACAUUACCUAUGUUGCAAAACUUCUCCCACCACAUCGCCGUUGUUGAAAAAAAAAGUAAAGACAAGAAAAAAAAUUCUGCAACACAACCUAUGUUACAAAAAAAAUCUCGCAACACGAUCUAUGUUGCAAGAAAAACUGUAACAUAACUUCUAUUUGUAAAUGCUUCCCAACAAGCCCUCUAUUGCAAAAUAAAGUAAGACGUUCGGCCGUCUGAUUGUGUCAGAUCCCACGGCUCGCGAGGCGGCGGACCGGCCGACGCAUAGCAGCCCCUUUCUUUAAUAGCAUACUUUUUUAACGAGUCAAAAGACUUAUUAUUUUCAUUAAUUGAGAGAAGAGUGAGAAUUGCCCGCUUAAUUAAGGAGAAAUAGGGUAAAAAUCAAUACAACCUAACCCACAUAACAUGAGCACGAGCGACCGACCUGGCCACUGACAAGGAGACCACGGAGGAUGGUUACAACAGAAUAUUAGAGAGGUAUACAUGUCCACGUGACUUUAACACUGAACCUGUUGUUGGAUGCUUGCUCUAGAGGGAUCAACUCCUCUGCAACGUUCACCAGAUGAGACAAAACGAACACUGCUUUGGUUCCUUCUUGCAGAACUAUGGAAAGCACAUUGCUUCCAUGCGCGCACGUACGAUUCCUUCGACCGCACGCAGCUGCGAUGACACACCAAUAUACGCAAUGGUCAAUUCAGUCAUCCGUGACCAGCUCAACUCAGAGUGUUCUGCUGUGGAGUUCAGCAUAAGGCAUUUCAAUGGUCAGAUAUGGCUGGACGUAAUGAGCUAACUCCAGAGGGGAGACGUUCAUCUUUUUCCUUCAAAACAAGAAGUAUCUGAGAGAAGUCCACAUAGGAGAGCUGCCGGUCUCAAUGGGUUGGCGCCGGCGUAGCAGCUUCAAAGAGGCUCUUCGCAGCCUGUACAACUUGCAGCAUCUAUAUAAGGCAGCGCCAUCGGGUACUGAUCUAUCACGUUCAACAAGCUCAUCUACCAAUCCAGCAAACUAGCUAAAACCCACUUCUCCAAAAUGGCGUCCCAGCUUGUCGAGAGCCACCGCCCCGGUGCCGAGGUCCACAAGGGGAACGAUAUCUGCAAGAAGAAGACGGUUGAGCUUCUCGAAGAGCUCGGCCUCCCGAAAGGCCUCUUUCCUAUGGAUGACAUCGAGGAGGUCGGGCACAACUGUGAGAGUGGGUUCGUGUGGAUACUUCAGAAGAAGAAGCUAGAGCACACGUUCAACAAGCUCAACCAGACCGUCUCCUACGACACUGAGGUGACCGCUUUUGUGGAAAAGGGCAAGAUGAAGAAGGUCACCGGGGUCAAGAUCGAGGACAUGUCUUUGGUCGAGGUCUAUGUGGAUGAGUCUUCUGCUGAUAAGGUUACCAUCAAGACCAACACCGGUCUGUCUGACACCCAUGAUGCGGCCGUGUUCGCUCUCGGAGAAUAGGGAGCUACUAUUUACAAAGGCCAGAAGAAUAAAGUCAGAAUGGUUCGGCACUGCAGUUCAAAUGUUAUGCAGAAGUAUAUGUUUCCGUUUUCUUUGUAAUCUAAUAAAGGCUGUUGCAUGAAUGUUGCUUCCUUUCAGCCCAUGUUAUGCAGAAAUUUAUGUUUCCGUUUUCUUUGUAAUGUAAUAAAGGAUGUUGCACGAAUGUUGCUUCCUUUCAGCCCGUAAGCGUACUCCAAAUGUAAUGAAUAACACUUAUACCGCCUCCUAUAUCCCACAUCGACCACUCUCAACUUCCCGAUGUUGUCCCUAUCUUUGUGUGUGAGAGAGUAAGGGCCUUAUCAACAAAUAAUUAAGCA